CUACGGGUGGCACCAGUCGAGAAUCUUCCGCAAUGCGCGAAAGCGUGACGGAGCGACGCCGCGUGCAGGAUGACGGCCUUCGGGUUGUAAACUGCUGUCACUCGGGAAAAAUAAUGAUUGUACCGAGAGAGGAAGCCACGGCUAACUACGUGCCAGCAGCCGCGGUAAUACGUAGGUGGCUAGCGUUAUUCGGAUUUAUUGGGCGUAAAGGGUUCGUAGGCGGUUGCGUAAGUCUGAUGUGAAAUCUCCGGGCUCAACCCGGAAACUGCAUUAGAUACUGCGCGACUUGAGUACUGGAGAGGUAAGCGGAAUUCCUGGUGUAGCGGUGGAAUGCGUAGAUAUCAGGAGGAACACCGAUGGCGAAGGCAGCUUACUGGACAGUUACUGACGCUGAUGAACGAAAGCUAGGGGAGCGAACAGGAUUAGAUACCCCUGUAGUC
Molecule: ribosomal RNA, 440 nt
Filed under: uncultured bacterium
Lineage: Bacteria
Description: partial 16S ribosomal RNA
Rfam family: Bacterial small subunit ribosomal RNA
Source: RNAcentral